Molecule: ribosomal RNA, 471 nt
Filed under: uncultured bacterium
Lineage: Bacteria
Description: SSU rRNA
Rfam family: Bacterial small subunit ribosomal RNA
Source: RNAcentral
AGGACGAACGCUGGCGGCGUGCUUAACACAUGCAAGUCGAGCGGAAAGGCCCUUCGGGGUACUCGAGCGGCGAACGGGUGAGUAACACGUGAGUAAUCUGCCCCUAGCUCUGGGAUAGCUCCGGGAAACCGGGAUUAAUACCAGAUACGACCACUUUAGACAUCUGUUGUGGUGGAAAGAAUUUUGGCUAGGGAUGAGCUCGCGGCCUAUCAGCUUGUUGGUGAGGUAACGGCCCACCAAGGCGACGACGGGUAGCCGGCCUGAGAGGGUGACCGGCCACACUGGGACUGAGACACGGCCCAGACUCCUACGGGAGGCAGCAGUGGGGAAUAUUGCACAAUGGGCGCAAGCCUGAUGCAGCAACGCCGCGUGAGGGACGACGGCCUCGGUUGUAAACCGUCUUUAGUAGGAAGAAGCGAAAGUGACGGUACCUGCAGAAAAGACACCGGCUAACUACGCGCCAGCAGCCGC